Small nuclear RNA from Orcinus orca (killer whale), 107 nucleotides. NCBI's taxonomy places the organism in Eukaryota, Metazoa, Chordata, Mammalia, Artiodactyla, Delphinidae. The record is from RefSeq and is a predicted model, not a curated record.
GUGCACGCUUUGGCAGCACAUAUACUAAAGUUGGAACAAUACGGAGAAGGUUAGCAUGGCUCCUGCACAAGGAUAACAUGCAAAUUCGUGAAGCACUGCAUAUUUUA